Molecule: ribosomal RNA, 253 nt
Filed under: uncultured bacterium
Lineage: Bacteria
Description: partial 16S ribosomal RNA
Rfam family: Bacterial small subunit ribosomal RNA
Source: RNAcentral
UACGUAGGGUGCGAGCGUUGUCCGGAAUUAUUGGGCGUAAAGAGCUUGUAGGCGGUUUGUCGCGUCUGCUGUGAAAAUCCGGGGCUCAACCCCGGACUUGCAGUGGGUACGGGCAGACUAGAGUGCAGUAGGGGAGACUGGAAUUCCUGGUGUAGCGGUGGAAUGCGCAGAUAUCAGGAGGAACACCGGUGGCGAAGGCGGGUCUCUGGGCUGUAACUGACGCUGAGGAGCGAAAGCGUGGGGAGCAAACAGG